UUCAGUCUAUCCUGAAAUUCAAGUGAGCAAAUCAUCAGCCUUGGCUUAUUAUGGUGUAUAUGUUAAUGGUAAGGGAAUUGGAGGGUGAUGGUAAUAACACAUUCCUUAACUGCAGAGACAUCAACGAGGUUAUUCGGAGGGCAAAUACGACGUCAUAUGGACUGGCAGCGGGUGUGUUUACGCAGGACAUAGACACAGCAAACACCUUGACACGAGCACUGAAAGUGGGAACAGUGUGGAUAAACUGCUAUGAUGUGUUUGAUGCAGCGAUCCCAUUUGGUGGGUACAAGAUGAGUGGACAAGGCAGAGAAAAGGGUAUUCACUGUCUCAGCAAUUACUUGCAAGUGAAGGCCGUUGUCACUCCCUUGAAGGACCCUGCAUGGAUUUAAAAUUCCUUCAAGCUACCUUUUACAAUGCUAGAUCUGUUUCGUUGAUUAGUGAAUAUUGCAGGAAUAAAGAUGACUGAGAAAUUGUUAGUUUAUCAUAGAUUUAUGGAAUGGAGUGGUGAAAUGUUGAUUGUGACGGAAAAAAAAACUACAAUUCUCGUCAGCUUGUCCAGUCGUCAACCCAAGGCUUCGAAUUUGGCUUCUUUAUUUUUUUAUGCAAUUUUCAUUCCCCCUUUAAAACACAAUAUUCGCAUAGAAAACCAUAUGCAGCUUUAACAGGGAAUAGUCAUGUUUCCACACAAAUCAAUCCGGAGAAACUUGGUGUUCUUAGCUCACUCCAGCAAACCACGAUCUUUCCAAACCAUUCUUACAUACUUUUAAAGACACUUAACCGUAUUCAGGAAAUCGAUCCCUUGGAUUGAAUAUAUCCAGAAAGUAUUGACUACGAUAAUACUCCGCUAGCAACAUGCAAAUGGUUCAUUAAGCAAUCAAGUCCCCUAAAUCCUAAGCAGCUUCUAUCUCAUGGUUUGCAUAAUUGCAUCCAACUACACAUAUUAAGUUUCUUUGAUCCUUGUCAUGCCCCCACCAAAGAGUAGGAACAAUUUAUCAAUUUUAAUAGUAGGUGCUUUGACACAUGACAAGGCAUAUAAAAGAAUGAAGGCAGGAGAUACCUGGAUUUCCAAACACUAAAUUUUGCUGCAUUUUCUGUAUGAUAAGGUUGAAAGAACUCCUCUCUUUUAACAUCCAGAAUCCUUGAAAACCAUCGCUUCUUAUAUCCUGACUUACAUUUGAAAUGGGAUCCUGAAUGCAAUUAUUUUGUUCCGCCUAAAAUUACAUUAAAGAUAAACAUUUUAACAAAAAUAGACAAAGGUAAAAGGAUUUCCCAGUUAUAACCUAUGGUUCCACUCCAAAAUUUCCUUUAAACUAAUCCAAAUAAAGUCUCAUGGUAAACAUCAAAUACCAUGUGACACCUAUUUCAUUUUAAAUUGUGAGGCAUAAUUUUUUUUCCUAAAGUAAAGGAAAGCCCUUUGCUUAUACGAUAAGUAUCUUUUAAGUCCAUAUGAGGUACCCCAUCUAUUUAUAUUGUCAAGGUCUAGGCUGGCAGCUUUGUGACUGGACUUUUUCAUAUGAAAUGAAAAAUGGUGUUUUAUUUAGGAAACAAAUGAAUUUCAAAAUAAAUCAAAACUUGAAAUCCUUUAAUUUCUUCUUCUCAUCUUAUUCACAAUGCUCGAUCAUUGUUCAUUCAUAAACAAAAAAUGGAAUUCAAUCUAUUUGUUAUUUCCAUAAAAUUUUCUGAAAAUAAAUGUAUAUAGCUAAAAAGAAUACUUAAAGACAGACCCAUCAAGUAUAAAGAAUCCCAUUUUUCAAAUAUUGAAGAUUUUAUAGCUCAACCUCAAUUAAACCCAAUUUCAUACUUCACCUUGCUACAUAAUUUUCGUUUAAAUUAUUUAUGAAAAUAAAUUAUAAAUCUGUAAUGUGGGUGAGUUUAGUACUUCAGUUGGAAUAAAAGAAAAGCUACUAGAGAUAGAAAAAUAGAAAGAGGACGAAGAAACGAAAUAAAUUCUUUAAUAAUAAAAUAAAGAAAGUAUAUUUGGAAUUUUGGAGAAAGAAUCAAUUGAAUUAGAUAUAAAUCUCCCCACGUGGGAUCCAUGUCUUCAUCUUGUCUCCUUCUCCACCUAAUAAUUUCCAUUUCCUUCCGCAUCAAAUAAAACAAAAGGUUAAAUUUUAUUUCUAGUUCCCAUAUUUUAGUAAAAUUUAAUAUUUAAUCCUUUCACUUUAUAAUUAAAAAUAUUUAUUUUAGUCAUUAUUCAAGCAAAGAGGUAAAACC
RNAcentral lists this long non-coding RNA (2214 nucleotides) under Gossypium barbadense (sea-island cotton). RNAcentral describes it as "long non-coding RNA (GBAR_LNC023403)". Lineage: Eukaryota; Viridiplantae; Streptophyta; Magnoliopsida; Malvales; Malvaceae. The record is from RNAcentral.